GUCGAGCGCGCCUUCGGGUGAGCGGCGGACGGGUUAGUAACGCGUGGGAACGUACCCUUCUCUACGGAAUAGCCUUUGGAAACGAAGAGUAAUACCGUAUACGCCCUUUGGGGGAAAGAUUUAUCGGAGAAGGAUCGGCCCGCGUUAGAUUAGAUAGUUGGUGGGGUAACGGCCUACCAAGUCUACGAUCUAUAGCUGGUUUUAGAGGAUGAUCAGCAACACUGGGACUGAGACACGGCUCAGACUCCUACGGGAGGCAGCAGUGGGGAAUCUUAGACAAUGGGCGCAAGCCUGAUCUAGCCAUGCCGCGUGAGUGAUGAAGGCCUUAGGGUCGUAAAGCUCUUUCGCCUGUGAUGAUAAUGACAGUAGCAGGUAAAGAAACCCCGGCUACUCCGUGCCACAGCCCGCGGUAAU
This 414-nucleotide ribosomal RNA is filed under the name uncultured Alphaproteobacteria bacterium. Its description in RNAcentral is "bacterial SSU rRNA". It matches the Rfam family "Bacterial small subunit ribosomal RNA", at positions 61 to 524 of the family's 1533-position model. Lineage: Bacteria; Pseudomonadati; Pseudomonadota; Alphaproteobacteria. The record is from RNAcentral.